This is an unclassified non-coding RNA of Otolemur garnettii (small-eared galago), 102 nucleotides long. It matches the Rfam family "Y RNA". From Rfam's summary of the family: Y RNAs are components of the Ro ribonucleoprotein particle (Ro RNP), in association with Ro60 and La proteins. Lineage: Eukaryota; Metazoa; Chordata; Mammalia; Primates; Galagidae. The record is from Ensembl.
GGAGUGCGGAGUGCAGUGGUGUUUACAACUAAUUAAUCACAACCAGUUACAGAUCUCUUUCUUUCUCUCUCCACUCCCACUGCUUCACUUGACCAGCCUAAA